GUCCCCAUCGUCUAGCGGUCUAGGACGCCGCCCUUUCACGGGGGAAACCGGGUUCGAUUCCGUUGGGGACGCC
RNAcentral lists this transfer RNA (73 nucleotides) under Alphaproteobacteria bacterium. RNAcentral's name for it is "tRNA-Glu". It matches the Rfam family "tRNA". From Rfam's summary of the family: Transfer RNA (tRNA) molecules are approximately 80 nucleotides in length. Their secondary structure includes four short double-helical elements and three loops (D, anti-codon, and T loops). Further hydrogen bonds mediate the characteristic L-shaped molecular structure. tRNAs have two regions of fundamental functional importance: the anti-codon, which is responsible for specific mRNA codon recognition, and the 3' end, to which the tRNAs corresponding amino acid is attached (by aminoacyl-tRNA synthetases). tRNAs cope with the degeneracy of the genetic code in two manners: having more than one tRNA (with a specific anti-codon) for a particular amino acid; and 'wobble' base-pairing, i.e. permitting non-standard base-pairing at the 3rd anti-codon position. The record is from RNAcentral. Lineage: Bacteria; Pseudomonadati; Pseudomonadota; Alphaproteobacteria.